RNAcentral lists this long non-coding RNA (956 nucleotides) under Scleropages formosus (Asian bonytongue). RNAcentral's name for it is "lncRNA (ENSSFOG00015028732.1)". The record is from RNAcentral. Lineage: Eukaryota; Metazoa; Chordata; Actinopteri; Osteoglossiformes; Osteoglossidae.
CGUACCUUUCUCUUCCAGUAAACGAAGUCCCUUCCCUGGGUGUGCUGCCCCCCUUGGUAGGGUGUAGGGGACCUGGGAAGCAAAGCUCCAUGGCGCUCCACAGGCAUGGCUCCAGGGACCUGCAGAACCCUCUAGAGCCCCAGCACGUCGAGAGGAACGUGGUCAGGGGAAGUCUCCCAGCAGUGCUGAGAGAGUGGGAGAACGGUGGUGCGGCAGGCACCUUAAUCAUGGGACCGAACGGUGAGAUCAUCCGCCUGUCCGUUUGGCCCCCCGCUGAUGAUGUUAACAGUCACCAGCUGCUGAGCGACGUCAUACGAGAGCAAGGUGUGUGGCCCCACCGUGCGUCCGCAAGAGCACAGCAACGGAUAUCUAAGAUGCUAGGAAUGUGUUUGGCGGGUGUGAAGCUCUAAAUAUGAAUUUAAAUGCAGAGGUGGAAAGCAGAAGAGCAUAUACCUGUUCGCAACUGCAGUGGAAGGCUUCGGGGGACAAUCGUAGUUUUAGGGGCUUAAAAAUAACGUGAAAGAAAACUAAUGACCGGAACAUGAAUGGAGGGAGGACCCGAUCGGUCUUAAAACGAAGAAGUGAAACGCAAAACAAAGUCAAAAGAUUAAGUCCCCGCAGAAUUUUGGAUGUUGAAUAUAGGUGGGCGGAGUGCCGAACUUCUCGAAUGAGCGAAAACACUCAGCCAGAGUAAUCUUUGUAUUCCUGUCCUCAGCAUCGAGCGUCCCGGCCUCCGAAGUGGCCCUGGAUGCCCCCUGGAGCGUUGUGCUCCAGUCAAACUCAGGUCAGUGUCUCCUUGUCUCCUCCGUUGUGUCCUGGAGCCCCGCGUCCGGCAACGUGCUGGGCGGUCGCCGGUGUCAGCACCUGCGGGAAUCCACCGCUAUUCCGCCUCUGAGUAAAGGAGAAAAUGCAUGGCGAAGCACAGUAGAAGGGAAAAUGCACACAAAUUCGCCCAG